This 440-nucleotide ribosomal RNA is filed under the name uncultured Janthinobacterium sp. RNAcentral describes it as "bacterial SSU rRNA". It matches the Rfam family "Bacterial small subunit ribosomal RNA", at positions 358 to 790 of the family's 1533-position model. The record is from RNAcentral. Lineage: Bacteria; Pseudomonadati; Pseudomonadota; Betaproteobacteria; Burkholderiales; Oxalobacteraceae.
GGAAUUUUGGACAAUGGGCGAAAGCCUGAUCCAGCAAUGCCGCGUGAGUGAAGAAGGCCUUCGGGUUGUAAAGCUCUUUUGUCAGGGAAGAAACGGUGAAGGCUAAUAUCCUUUGCUAAUGACGGUACCUGAAGAAUAAGCACCGGCUAACUACGUGCCAGCAGCCGCGGUAAUACGUAGGGUGCAAGCGUUAAUCGGAAUUACUGGGCGUAAAGCGUGCGCAGGCGGUUUUGUAAGUCUGAUGUGAAAUCCCCGGGCUCAACCUGGGAAUUGCAUUGGAGACUGCAAGGCUAGAAUCUGGCAGAGGGGGGUAGAAUUCCACGUGUAGCAGUGAAAUGCGUAGAUAUGUGGAGGAACACCGAUGGCGAAGGCAGCCCCCUGGGUCAAGAUUGACGCUCAUGCACGAAAGCGUGGGGAGCAAACAGGAUUAGAUACCCGAG